Molecule: transfer RNA, 56 nt
Filed under: Ictidomys tridecemlineatus (thirteen-lined ground squirrel)
Lineage: Eukaryota; Metazoa; Chordata; Mammalia; Rodentia; Sciuridae
Description: Spermophilus tridecemlineatus (thirteen-lined ground squirrel) tRNA
Rfam family: tRNA
About the family: Transfer RNA (tRNA) molecules are approximately 80 nucleotides in length. Their secondary structure includes four short double-helical elements and three loops (D, anti-codon, and T loops).
Source: Rfam by way of RNAcentral
AGCUCAGUUGGUAGAGUGCUUGCCUUGCAUGCAGAAGGCCUUGGGUUCAAUCCCAA